This 199-nucleotide ribosomal RNA is filed under the name uncultured bacterium. RNAcentral describes it as "partial 16S ribosomal RNA". It matches the Rfam family "Bacterial small subunit ribosomal RNA", at positions 1294 to 1500 of the family's 1533-position model. The record is from RNAcentral.
CGGAUUGGAGUCUGCAACUCGACUCCAUGAAGCUGGAUUCGCUAGUAAUCGCGCAUCAGCCAUGGCGCGGUGAAUACGUUCCCGGGCCUUGUACACACCGCCCGUCAAGCCAUGGAAGCCGGGGGUGCCUGAAGUGCGUGACCGCAAGGAGCGCCCUAAGGUAAAACCGGUGACUGGGGCUAAGUCGUAACAAGGUAGC